GACGAACGCUGGCGGCGUGCCUAAUACAUGCAAGUUGAGCGAUGAAGAUUGGUGCUUGCACCAAUUUGAAGAGCAGCGAACGGGUGAGUAACGCGUGGGGAAUCUGCCUUUGAGCGGGGGACAACAUUUGGAAACGAAUGCUAAUACCGCAUAACAACUUUAAACAUAAGUUUUAAGUUUGAAAGAUGCAAUUGCAUCACUCAAAGAUGAUCCCGCGUUGUAUUAGCUAGUUGGUGAGGUAAAGGCUCACCAAGGCGAUGAUACAUAGCCGACCUGAGAGGGUGCUCGGCCACAUUGGGACUGAGACACGGCCCAAACUCCUACGGGAGGCAGCAGUAGGGAAUCUUCGGCAAUGGACGAAAGUCUGACCGAGCAACGCCGCGUGAGUGAAGAAGGUUUUCGGAUCGUAAAACUCUGUUGGUAGAGAAGAACGUUGGUGAGAGCGGAAAGCUCAUCAAGUGACGGUAACUACCCAGAAAGGGACGGCUAACUACGUG
This 497-nucleotide ribosomal RNA is filed under the name uncultured bacterium. Its description in RNAcentral is "partial 16S ribosomal RNA". It matches the Rfam family "Bacterial small subunit ribosomal RNA", at positions 28 to 507 of the family's 1533-position model. The record is from RNAcentral.